GACCACUUUCAAACGCUCCGCGGAUCUCGUGUUUCCUUAUCGCGUCGUUUCAACUCCAUUUCUCACCUCACUGCGCUCCUUCGGCUCUUCUCCCAUUCCUUCGCUUCUAUCUCUUAGAAGAAAAGAGAGAAUGCAGCGCCACGGUGAUCCCAACCCCUUCGACGAAGACGCAGUCAGUCCCUUCUCGAAUGGAGCAGGAUCUGGCAAAAAGUCGAAGUUCCCUUCGCUGUCGUCUGUUACUCUGGGUUUCGGAAAUAAGCACGAUGCGGUUGUUGAUGUUCCACUGGAGACGACAAACGAUUCCAGAAAGAAGGCACAAGAACUUGCAGCAUGGGAAGCAGAACUGAAAAGGAGAGAGACGGAAAUUAAACGAAGGGAAGAUGCUUUGUCGAAUGCUGGUGUUACUACAGAAGAUAAGAAUUGGCCACCAGUGUUCCCAAUCAUUCACCAUGAUAUUGCUAAGGAGAUACCAAUUCAUGCUCAGAGGUUGCAGUAUUUAGCAUUUGCAAGCUGGCUAGGAAUUGUUCUGUGUCUUUCUUGGAAUAUCCUUGCUGUGACUGUAUGUUGGAUUAAAGGCUGUGGGGUUAAAGUCUUUUUCCUUGCAAUAAUCUAUGCUUUUCUUGGAUGUCCUCUUUCGUAUCUAUUGUGGUACAGGCCUCUAUAUCGUGCAAUGAGGACUGAGAGUGCAGUGAGAUUUGGUUGGUUCUUCCUCUUGUACCUGAUCCAUAUUGGCUUUUGCAUCAUUGCUGCUAUUGCUCCUCCAAUUGUUUUUGAUGGGAAGUCAUUGACGGGUAUACUGGCUGCAAUUGACACAUUUUCAGAUCACAUGGUUGUUGGGAUCUUUUACUUGAUUGGUUUUGGCUUAUUUUGUUUGGAAACACUUUUAAGCCUCUGGGUGCUUCAGAAAAUUUACAUGUACUUUAGAGGUCAUAAAUGAAGAAAUUGCAUGCAGUGAAGCCCAAAAUGUUUUGAUCUAGCGUCCUGCUUAAGCUGCUCUUCUUUUAAAUUUAUUUCUUUUAGCUUCAUUUGUUUCACGAUGAUGUGACCGUCUGUUGGCUUGAAGAUCAUCAGAUUACCAUUCUGUUGGAGGAAUCAACAACUUUGGCCUAUUGUUGGGAUUUUAGGAAUGAAAUCAUCCCUCAAAUGCUUUCAAGAGUCAUUGGUGGAAUAAUGUGAUGCUUUAAGAUUGGUUGGUUGUACCUGAUGAUUCCUUUAGUUGAUCUGUUAAAUGAUCUUAUGUCUGAUAUCCCAAGUAACUAUUGUCCAAUACCAUAUUGAUAGCCAAUUUGGGUUUUAAGCAUUGAAGUUGGUUGGUUAAUAUUACCAAACAUGCUGUUAUUUUGAUUAUAUGUUGGUUUUGUUUACAAACUUUGGGGUCAUCAAAUCAUAAAAAAUAUGUUCCUUGUGAGAAUGUCCUUGCCAUAGAACAAUACCGUAC
RNA transcript from Musa acuminata AAA Group (dessert banana), 1438 nucleotides. It is a transcript of the gene named secretory carrier-associated membrane protein 4-like, with no coding region annotated. The record is from RefSeq and is a predicted model, not a curated record. Lineage: Eukaryota; Viridiplantae; Streptophyta; Magnoliopsida; Zingiberales; Musaceae. The transcript has 13 exons.